GGCUUAGAAGCAGCCACCCUUUAAAGAAAGCGUAAUAGCUCACUGGUCUAGUUUUCCUGCGCCGUAAAUAUAACGGGGCUAAGUAUAUUACCGAAGCNGUAGACUUCGNAAGAAGUGGUAGNNGAGCGUUCNANNNGCANUGAAGGNNNNNCGGCAAGGNNNNNUGGAGCGNNUGGAAGUGAGAAUGCUGACAUGAGUAGCGAUAAAGGAGGUGAAAAUCCUCCUCGCCGAAAGCCCAAGGGUUCCUGUCCAAGGACAAUCCGGGCAGGGUUAGUCGGCCUCUAAGGUGUAGCCGAAAGGCGAAGCCGAUGAGAAGCAGGUAAAUAUUCCUGCACCACCGGUGUGGAGCAGAGCAAGGACGGAGAAAGAUAGGUCAUCUGGUUAAUGGAUUCCAGUAUGCCUUCGUAGGCCGGAUUCGUAGGAAUAAAACGCGAAUCCAAAGCUGAGGAGGGUGUCGUAAGUGAUUGAUUCUAGGCUUCCAAGAAAAGUUGCGUACUGUUUUGAAACAUUGGUGACCGUACUCCAAACCGACACAGGUGGGCGAGUGGAGAACACUAAGGCGCUUGAGAGAACUCGGGUUAAGGAAUUAGGCAAAUUAGCACCGUAACUUCGGGAUAAGGUGUGCCCCCGACGGUAAAUGACUUCGCGUCAUGAAGCUAUUGGGGGUCGCAGCUAAGCAGCGGUAGCGACUGUUUACCAAAAACACAGGUCUCUGCGAAAUCGUAAGAUGAUGUAUAGGGACUGACGCCUGCCCGGUGCUGGAAGGUUAAGUGAGGGGGUUAGCGUAAGCGAAGCUCUUGAUNGAAGCCCCAGUAAACGGGGCGGCCGUAACAAUAACGGUCCUAAGGUAGCGAAAUUCCUUGUCGGGUAAGUUCCGACCUGCACGAAUGGCGUAACGACUUCCGCACUGUCUCGACCCGCGACCCAGCGAAAUUGACAUAGGGGUGAAGAUGCCCCUUACCCGCAGCAAGACGGAAAGACCCUGUGAACCUUUACUCUAGCUUGACAGUGAUAUUCGAUUUAGUUUGUGUAGGAUAGGUGGGAGACUUUGACCUUGGGGCGCCAGCUUCAAGUGAGUCAUUGGUGAAAUACCACCCUGAUUACUUUGGAUAUCUAACCGGCGCAAAACGCUGGGACACUGUCUGGUGGGGAGUUUGACUGGGGCGGUCGCCUCCCAAAAUGUAACGGAGGCGUGCAAAGGUUCCCUCAGCAUGAUUGGAAACCAUGCGUAGAGUGCAAUAGCAUAAGGGAGCUUGACUGCGAGACUGACAGGUCGAGCAGGUACGAAAGUAGGCUAUAGUGAUCC
RNAcentral lists this ribosomal RNA (1306 nucleotides) under metagenome. Its description in RNAcentral is "bacterial LSU rRNA". It matches the Rfam family "Bacterial large subunit ribosomal RNA", at positions 1103 to 2421 of the family's 2925-position model. The record is from RNAcentral.